Molecule: long non-coding RNA, 747 nt
Filed under: Androctonus crassicauda
Lineage: Eukaryota; Metazoa; Arthropoda; Arachnida; Scorpiones; Buthidae
Source: RNAcentral
UGGAAAUUUUCUAUAUACAUGAAUUGUAUUUUUUUUGUGUGUUGUUUUAAGAUUAUGUAUUUAUUAGGUAGGGAGAUUCAUAAAUUAUGUCACGCUUUCGGGGUAGUGUAUAGAUAUGAUAGAGUAAAUGACAGAAUAACUUCCUUAAAUUAUGAUAUCAUUCUUAAAAUGGUUAAUUCUUAUAUCUUUAUGACUAAACAAUGUUACAAAAUUAUAAAAAUAAUUAAUGGAAGCAGUGAAUUCUACGUCACUUUAAUUAGCACCACAAGCUCUGAUUUCUUCCCAGACAAUUCACAAUCCUAUUUAUAAGGAAAAUAAAUCCGCCGAUUCAAUUAAAUGGUAAUUGGCAAGUAUCUGUGGUCGAAUCAGUUAUACCGAGAUCUCGGUUUAAUAUUACGAAAGAAAAUAAUAAUUAUACUAUCAUUACUCGAGAGAAUAAAACCAAUAAAAGUGAAAGUUGACGAUGGAUCUGCUUUGAAUCCGUUACAUAUGAGAGGCCAACCCUCGACAGAUAUUUUUCCAAUAUAAAUAAUAAUAUAAAACUUUUAGGGAAAGCUGAUGUGGUUCAAUUUUCUUUCGAUAAAAAUACUAGUCUAUUGACUGUGAGAAUAAGUGAAAACGUGAAUUAUUAUUGACUCGACAAAUGUCUCCGGUUCUUUUAUCAAUGUUAAAUUUAAAUGAGCCGGAUGAAUACAUAAUAAAAGGUGAAGAUAUAUUCAAGUUUACUCGAUCGUUUCAAGACUUGUG